GAUGAACGCUGGCGGCGUGCUUAAUACAUGCAAGUCGAGCGAACAGACGAGGCUCUUGCUCCUCUGACGUUAGCGGCGGACGGGUGAGUCACACGUGGAUAACCUACCUAUCUGACUGGGAUAACUUCGGGAAACCGUAGCUAAUACCGGAUAAUAUCUUGACCCGCAUGGUUCAAUAGUGAAAUUCGGUUUUGCUGUUACUUAUAGAUGGAUCCGCGCCGCAUUAGCUAGUUGGUAAGGUAACGGCUUACCAAGGCAACGAUGCGUAGCCGACCUGAGAGGGUGGUCGGCCACACUGGAACUGGGACACGGACCAGAGGCCUACGAGAGGGAGCAGUAGGGAAUGUGCCGCAAUGGGCGAAAGCAUGACGGAGCAAGGCCGCGUGAGUGAUGAAGGUCUUCGGAGCGUAAAGAUCGGUUAUUAGGGAAGAACAAAUGUGUAAGUAACUAUGCACGUAGUGACGGUACCUAAACAGAAAGCCACGGCUAACUACGUG
This 497-nucleotide ribosomal RNA is filed under the name uncultured bacterium. Its description in RNAcentral is "partial 16S ribosomal RNA". It matches the Rfam family "Bacterial small subunit ribosomal RNA", at positions 28 to 507 of the family's 1533-position model. The record is from RNAcentral.